RNAcentral lists this ribosomal RNA (99 nucleotides) under uncultured bacterium. RNAcentral's name for it is "partial 16S ribosomal RNA". The record is from RNAcentral.
CUUCGGCCCGUAAACCCCUGUCAUUUGCGAUCAAACCUUACGACCUAACACGUUGUAAGCUGAUAGUAGCGGAAGAGGAAGGGACGGCUAACUCUGUGC